Molecule: ribosomal RNA, 459 nt
Filed under: Actinomyces sp. oral taxon 448
Lineage: Bacteria; Bacillati; Actinomycetota; Actinomycetes; Actinomycetales; Actinomycetaceae
Description: bacterial SSU rRNA
Rfam family: Bacterial small subunit ribosomal RNA
Source: RNAcentral
GACGAACGCUGGCGGCGUGCUUAACACAUGCAAGUCGAACGGGCCUGCCUGGCUUUGGUUGGGUGGGUGAGUGGCGAACGGGUGAGUAACACGUGAGUAACCUGCCCUCUUCUCUUGGAUAACUGCUUGAAAGGGCGGCUAAUACGGGAUGUUCUGGCUGCCUCGCAUGGGGUGGUUUGGAAAGAUUCGGCCUGGUUUUGGUUGUUUUGGUGGGGGAUGGGCUCGCGGCUUAUCAGCUUGUUGGUGGGGUGAUGGCCUACCAAGGCGGUGACGGGUAGCUGGCCUGAGAGGGUGGACGGUCACACUGGGACUGAGACACGGCCCAGACUCCUCGGGAGGCAGCAGUGGGGGAUUUUGCACAAUGGGCGCAAGCCUGAUGCAGCGACGCCGCGUGAGGGAUGGAGGCCUUCGGGUUGUGAACCUCUGUCGCCGGUGAUGUAGGCUCUGCUUUGUGGGUGG